AAAAAACCCAUCCCCUCAAAAAACAAAAGAAAAAUCCCAAAAACCUCAAUCCAGUUAAAACCCUAACGCUAUUGUACUCGUGUUUAUUGCUGGUUAAUUUCCAAUAGCUAUUAACCAGAAAGACUCAAAAGCUUUCUCUCGCUGGUCUUUGAAGAAGAUGGCUCGUGUUCAAAGUCACAUCCCUCUGAAUGUUUGAGUUGCAAAUCUCUAUAACUGGGCGACACAAAUUGUAUACUGCUAUUACUUAUCUCACUGAAUCCAGCAUCCUGUUAUCAUGCUUCUUCCGGCGGCAUCUG
This is a long non-coding RNA of Ricinus communis (castor bean), 296 nucleotides long. RefSeq lists it as uncharacterized. The record is from RefSeq and is a predicted model, not a curated record. NCBI's taxonomy places the organism in Eukaryota, Viridiplantae, Streptophyta, Magnoliopsida, Malpighiales, Euphorbiaceae. The transcript is spliced from 2 exons.